This is an RNA transcript of Manihot esculenta (cassava), 2123 nucleotides long. It is a transcript of the gene named purple acid phosphatase 23, with no coding region annotated. NCBI's taxonomy places the organism in Eukaryota, Viridiplantae, Streptophyta, Magnoliopsida, Malpighiales, Euphorbiaceae. The transcript is spliced from 9 exons. The record is from RefSeq and is a predicted model, not a curated record.
CCCCAUAGAUUUAUCCUCCAACCCAGCAUCAUCAGCAUAUUCCUACUGUCUAUUUUGCGGAUGCCAAAUCUUGUCACCAACCCAUAUUUUCCCGCCACCUCUCCUUAUAAUCUUGGAGCCACCGCUAACCCUGUGUAGUUGCAUCAAGAAAAUAGCUAGAAAAUCACAAGCCCAGAUGAAUUACUUCACACCAUGGAUACCUGUAACCAUCUUCUGCAUAAUUAUUAUUCAGAUAAAGCUUGUUACGAGUCAGAUUCCAACAACUCUUAAAGGCCCAUUUAAGCCAGUAACACGUAAAUUUGAUUCGUCAUUGCGGAGAGGCAGUGACGAUUUGGCAAUGGACCAUCCGCUUCUUAAGAAGAAUGUGACUGGAAACUUUCCGGAGCAGAUAUCAUUGGCUAUCUCUUCACCAACUUCGAUGUGGGUUUCUUGGGUCACUGGGGACGCACAGAUCGGUUCUAAUGUUACUGCUCUUGAUCCUGCUUCUGUGGCCAGUGAAGUUUGGUAUGGGAAGGAAAGUGGAAAGUAUACAAGUAAACAGAAGGGGAAUUCAACUGUUUAUAGUCAAUUAUACCCAUUUGAGGGACUUCUGAAUUAUACUUCUGGCAUCAUUCAUCAUGUCAGAAUUGAUGGUCUUGAACCUGGGACAAAAUAUUAUUACAAGUGUGGAGAUAGCUCUAUCCCAGCCAUGAGUGAAGAGCAUGUCUUUGAAACUUCACCACCAUCUGGCCCAAAUUCAUAUCCUCGUCGAAUAGCUGUUGUUGGAGAUCUUGGCCUUACAAGUAAUUCAUCUACAACCAUGGAUCAUGUGGUCAUGAAUGACCCUUCAUUGAUUUUAAUGGUUGGAGACUUAACUUAUGCAAAUCAAUACCGUACAAUUGGUGGGAAAGGAGUUCCAUGCUUCUCUUGCGCAUUCCCUGAUGCACCCAUCAGAGAGACAUAUCAACCCCGCUGGGAUGGCUGGGGAAGGUUCAUGGAGCCACUGAUAUCAAGAGUUCCUAUGAUGGUCAUUGAAGGGAACCAUGAGAUUGAACCUCAAGUUGCUGGGGUAACUUUCAAAUCUUACUUGACUAGAUUUUCAGUUCCAGCAGAGGAGUCUGGGUCUAAAAGUAACUUCUACUACUCUUUCGAUGCUGGUGGCAUACAUUUUAUCAUGCUGGGAGCAUAUGUUGACUAUAACAGUACUGGUUCUCAGUAUGCUUGGUUAAAGGAAGACCUGCAUGGAGUGGACCGGACUAGGACCCCUUGGUUAGUAGCUGCAUGGCAUCCACCUUGGUAUAAUAGCUAUUCUUCACACUAUCAGGAAUUUGAGUGCAUGAGGCAGGAAAUGGAAGCACUUCUCUAUCAAUACCGUGUUGAUAUUGUUUUUUCUGGUCAUGUGCAUGCUUAUGAGCGAAUGAAUAGAGUAUAUAAUUAUACAUUGGACCACUGUGGCCCUGUUUACAUAACAGUUGGAGAUGGUGGAAACAUUGAGAAAGUUGAUGUUGAUCAUGCUGAUGACAUUGGGAAAUGUCCUUCAGCUGGAGAUAACAUACCAGAGUUUGGGGGCACAUGCCACAUCAAUUUUUCUUCUGGCCCUGCUAAGGGAAAGUUUUGCUGGGACAUACAACCAGAAUGGAGCGCAUUCAGAGAAAGCAGCUUCGGACAUGGAAUACUUGAGGUAUUUGGGGAGGAGGGAAGGGGAAUCGAAUACUGGGGGAGUUCCCAAACAUACCUUGAUAACCCAUCCAAUGGGUGGUAGGCAUCAUUUUAUCAACUUCGGAUUUUGGUUUUGAAUUCAACUUAUGCUUUAUGGACUUGGCACAGAAAUCAGGAUAUCUACAAGAACAAUACUCGUGGUGAUGAAAUAUACGUUGUCCGACAGCCUGAGCUGUGCCUUCCCUCAACUUCUUCCAAAGGUAGCAUUAACGAGACUCAAAUGGGAGGCAACAGAAAUGAAGCAUCUGCCAUGUUUACGAGGAUGUGGAUUCCAGCAUUAACAGUCUUGGUGGCCAUUGUUGUUGCCUGAACAAAAUCAUACUGGUUUAAAACUUUGUACAAUCAAUUACUUUCAAUAUCACCAUAAACACUAUGUUUAAGUUUUAAUAAUGCCAAUCAUUACUUCUUAUUAUUGGCUUUCCAAA